Molecule: ribosomal RNA, 447 nt
Filed under: uncultured bacterium
Lineage: Bacteria
Description: bacterial SSU rRNA
Rfam family: Bacterial small subunit ribosomal RNA
Source: RNAcentral
UGCCAGACUCCUACGGGAGGCAGCAGUGGGGGAUAUUGCACAAUGGGGGAAACCCUGAUGCAGCGACGCCGCGUGGGUGAAGAAGCGCCUCGGCGCGUAAAGCCCUGUCAGCAGGGAAGAAAAUGACGGUACCUGAUUAAGAAGCCCCGGCUAACUACGUGCCAGCAGCCGCGGUAAUACGUAGGGGGCGAGCGUUAUCCGGAAUUACUGGGUGUAAAGGGAGCGUAGACGGCGAGGUAAGCCUGAAGUGGAAGCCCGCGGCCCAACCGCGGAACUGCUUUGGGAACUGUUUUGCUGGAGUAUGGGAGGGGUAAGCGGAAUUCCUGGUGUAGCGGUGAAAUGCGUAGAUAUUAGGAGGAACACCAGUGGCGAAGGCGGCUUACUGGACAGUAACUGACGUUGAGGCUCGAAAGCGUGGGGAGCAAACAGGAUUAGAUACCCUAGUAA